UAGGGGCUUGCCAUGGUGACAACGGGUGACGGGGAAUUAGGGGUUCGAUUCCGGAGAGGGGAGCCUGAGAAACGGCUACCACUUCCAAGGAAGGCAGCAGGCGCGCAAAUUACCCAAUACUGAUUCGGUGAGGUAGUGACAAGAAAUACCAAUAUAGGACCCAACGGGGUACUAUGUUUGGAAUGAGUACAAUUUAAAAACCUUAACGAGGAACAAUUGGAGGGCAAGUCUGGUGCCAGCAGCCGCGGUAAUUCCAGCUCCAAUAGUGUAUAUUAAAGUUGCUGCGGUUAAAAAGCUCGUAGUUGGAUUUCGGAGUUGUUAUCUGAACCUUCUCGCCCUAAAAAGUGGGGGGGCUAAGGUAGCAGUAGUUUUCAUCAUAGUCCAUCAGGAUACUCUCUUGAUGUGUACUGGGUGUUAACCUCCUUUUUUUCUGGUACUUGCUAUCCAGCAAUGGGUAGUUUGUCCAGAUAGUUUACUUGAAAAAUUAGAGUGUUCAAAGCAGGCAUAAUUGGCAUCAUGAAUACAUUAGCAUGGGAUAAUAGAAUAUAG
RNAcentral lists this ribosomal RNA (549 nucleotides) under uncultured eukaryote. RNAcentral's name for it is "bacterial SSU rRNA". It matches the Rfam family "Eukaryotic small subunit ribosomal RNA", at positions 334 to 827 of the family's 1831-position model. The record is from RNAcentral.